This 986-nucleotide ribosomal RNA is filed under the name human gut metagenome. RNAcentral's name for it is "bacterial LSU rRNA". It matches the Rfam family "Bacterial large subunit ribosomal RNA", at positions 1942 to 2925 of the family's 2925-position model. The record is from RNAcentral.
AUAACGGUCCUAAGGUAGCGAAAUUCCUUGUCGGGUAAGUUCCGACCCGCACGAAUGGUGUAACGAUCUGGGCACUGUCUCAACUACCCACCCGGCGAAAUUGUAGUACCGGUGAAGAUGCCGGUUACCUGCGGCAAGACGGAAAGACCCCAUGGAGCUUUACUGUAGCCUGAUAUUGGGUUUCGGAAAUCUAUGUACAGGAUAGGCGGGAGACUGGGAAACAUGAGCGUCAGCUUGUGUGGAGUCGAUGUUGGGAUACCGCCCUUAGGUUUCUGGAAUUCUAACCUGCGGCCGUGAAUCCGGUCGGGGGACAUUGUCAGGUGGGCAGUUUGACUGGGGCGGUCGCCUCCGAAAAGGUAACGGAGGCGCUCAAAGGUUAGCUCAGCACGGACGGAAACCGUGCCUCUGAGUGUAAACGCAAAAGCUAGCCUAACUGCGAGGGUGACGGCCCGAGCAGUAACGAAAGUUGGAGUUAGUGAUCCGGCGGUAUGUGAAUGGAAAUGCCGUCGCUCAACGGAUAAAAGCUACCCUGGGGAUAACAGGCUGAUCUCCCCCAAGAGUCCACAUCGACGGGGAGGUUUGGCACCUCGAUGUCGGCUCAUCGCAUCCUGGGGCUGUAGUAGGUCCCAAGGGUUGGGCUGUUCGCCCAUUAAAGCGGUACGCGAGCUGGGUUCAGAACGUCGUGAGACAGUUCGGUCCCUAUCUGUCGUGGGCGCAGGAUAUUUGAGGAGCUCUGUCCUUAGUACGAGAGGACCGGGAUGGACGUACCUCUGGUGCACCAGUUGUCAUGCCAAUGGCACGGCUGGGCAGCUAUGUACGGAACGGAUAAACGCUGAAAGCAUCUAAGCGUGAAGCCGACUCCAAGAUUAGAUAUCCCAUCGUAUAACGAGUAAGACCCCUUGAAGACUACGAGGUUGAUAGGCUGCGUGUGUAAGUGCCGUGAGGCAUUCAGCUUGGCAGUACUAAUAGGUCGAGGGCUUGACCAC